RNAcentral lists this long non-coding RNA (1912 nucleotides) under Nicotiana tabacum (common tobacco). RNAcentral's name for it is "long non-coding RNA (NTAB_LNC002678)". The record is from RNAcentral. Lineage: Eukaryota; Viridiplantae; Streptophyta; Magnoliopsida; Solanales; Solanaceae.
CAUAAGGGAGCAGAAGAAAAGUAGAAAGGUAUAAAUUAAUUGCAGUUUCAACCUCCAUAUAGCUAAGUCCUUUUAAAAUCCAGAAAUCUGUAUCUCUUAUAUUUCCACAAUAACUAGCUUUCAGCAAGAAGAGCAAUCAGAAGUUCUCGGAUCACAAUAUAUCUUCUUAACUCUCCCACUCUCAAUUAAUCAGUCAGAUUUUUUAUUACGCUAACAUACAAAGAUGUACAGUGAAGAAAUUGUCUUAUGUCUAACAGAAAUGCAAAGGAAAAACCAAUUAGCAAUAUGCAUCCUUGUAACUGUUUUCACAUAGACCUAGUACUUUAUAUAGCUCUUUAUGAUGUCUACAGAAAAGUUAUUCUAGACACCCUUUCAUAUGUAAAUCAAAAUUUGGUUAUAGGCAGCUCUUGACAAACCAUGUUGUUUAUGCCGAUUGCAGUACUAUUUUAUUUCAAUGCACUCAGCAGCAAUCAAUGGUAUAUUCAGAUUAAUGAUCGCACUACUUGCUCAGUUUAGUUCAUCAACUUUACUGAUUGAAGUUCAACUAAACAACCUAAAAAGUUCGCCAUGAUACUCGUUUUCAAAGUGCACAAAGCUUGAGCUUAUGAGUGAAAUCACGAAAAUCCAAGUUGAAUUGGCAAGAACGCAAAAUAAGGGCAUAAAAGAAGGAAGUGCAUUGUAGCCCCCCAAACAACAAGCUAUCACCACAACAAAGGUGCCUUAUUCUUUUGCAAGUUCCUUAAACAAUCGCAAGUGUCCAUAUUUCUGACUACAAAAGAAAACUAUCAUCUCUCUCUCCCUAAGUGUGUUCGUUCCCACUUCCUCUUGCACGAAGUCACCACCUAACAAACAUCAUCACUUGUUUCACAUUACUGUAUAAUUAUAAGCCAAACACUAUAAAACAGUAGAGUGGUUUUUAUUUGUAUUAACUAAGCAAUGCAUGCAUCGCAGCCAUUAUGAAACUGGUAAAAAAAUCUUUUAGGCUAUUAGCAUCUAUAUAAUCCAAAAGAGAAGACAUAAAACACCUGAUUUUACUCAUUCGCAACCAUAUAAUCCAAAAGAGUUAAAGAUAUAAAACACCUGAUUUUACUCUGAAACUCUAGGAUAAUAUAUACAAAUUCACUUCAAUUCAAAUUCACUUCAAAGGAAAAACCAAUUAGCAAUAUGCAUCCUUGUAACUGUUUUCUCAUAGACCUAGUACUUUAUAUAACUCUUUAUGAUGUCUACAGAAAAGUUAUUCUAGACACACCCUUUCAUAUGUAAAUCAAAAUUUGGUUAUAGGCAGCUCUUGACAAGCCAUGUUGUUUAUGCCGAUUGCAGUACUAUUUUAUUUCAAUGCACUCGGCAGCAAUGGAUGGUAUAUUCAGAUUAAUGAUCGCACCACUUGCUCAGUUUAGUUCUUCAACUUAACUGAUUGAAGAUCAACUAAACAACCUAAAAAGUUCGCCAUGAUACUCGUUUUCAAAGUGCACAAAGCUUGAGCUUAUGAGUGAAAUCACAAAAAUCCAAGUUGAAUUGGCAAGAACGCAAAAUAAGGGCAUAAAAGAAGGAAGUGCAUUGUAGCCCCCCAAACAACAAGCUAUCACCACAACAAAGGUGCCUUAUUCUUUUGCAAGUUCCUUAAACAAUCGCAAGUGUCCAUAUUUCUGACUACAAAGAAAACUAUCAUCUCUCUCUCCCUAAGUAUGUUCGUUCCCACUUCCUCUUGCACGAAGUCACCACCUAACAAACACCAUCACUUGUUUCACAUAACUGUAUAAUUAUAAGCCAAACACUAUAAAACAGUAGAGUAGUUUUUAUUUGUAUUAACAAAGCAAUGCAUGCAUCGCAGCCAUUAUGAAACUGGUAAAAAAAUCUUCUAGGCUAUUAGCAUCUAUAUAAUCCAAAAGAGAAGACAUAAAACACCUUNNNN